RNAcentral lists this ribosomal RNA (1077 nucleotides) under uncultured bacterium. RNAcentral's name for it is "bacterial SSU rRNA". It matches the Rfam family "Bacterial small subunit ribosomal RNA", at positions 1 to 1100 of the family's 1533-position model. The record is from RNAcentral.
UUCGCCCUUAGGGUUUGAUUCUGGCUCAGGACGAACGCUGGCGGCGUGCUUAACACAUGCAAGUCGAACGGAAAGGCCCUGCUUGCAGGGUACUCGAGUGGCGAACGGGUGAGUAACACGUGGGUGAUCUGCCCUGCACUUCGGGAUAAGCCUGGGAAACUGGGUCUAAUACCGGAUAGGACCAUCGUUUAGUGUCGGUGGUGGAAAGUUUUUCGGUGCAGGAUGAGCCCGCGGCCUAUCAGCUUGUUGGUGGGGUAAUGGCCUACCAAGGCGUCGACGGGUAGCCGGCCUGAGAGGGUGGACGGCCACAUUGGGACUGAGACACGGCCCAGACUCCUACGGGAGGCAGCAGUGGGGAAUAUUGCACAAUGGGCGCAAGCCUGAUGCAGCGACGCCGCGUGGGGGAUGAAGGCCUUCGGGUUGUAAACUCCUUUCAGCAGGGACGAAGCUUUUGUGACGGUACCUGCAGAAGAAGCACCGGCUAACUACGUGCCAGCAGCCGCGGUAAUACGUAGGGUGCGAGCGUUGUCCGGAAUUACUGGGCGUAAAGAGCUCGUAGGUGGUUUGUCGCGUCGUCUGUGAAAUUCCGGGGCUUAACUCCGGGCGUGCAGGCGAUACGGGCAUAACUUGAGUGCUGUAGGGGAGACUGGAAUUCCUGGUGUAGCGGUGAAAUGCGCAGAUAUCAGGAGGAACACCGAUGGCGAAGGCAGGUCUCUGGGCAGUUACUGACGCUGAGGAGCGAAAGCAUGGGUAGCGAACAGGAUUAGAUACCCUGGUAGUCCAUGCCGUANACGGUGGGCGCUAGGUGUGGGGGUCUUCCACGACUUCUGUGCCGUAGCUAACGCAUUAAGCGCCCCGCCUGGGGAGUACGGCCCGCAGGCUAAAACUCAAAGGAAUUUGACGGGGCCCGCACAAAGCGCGGAGCAUGUGGAUUAAUUUCGAUGCACGCGAAGAACCUUACCNAGUCUGACAUCCCUCUGAAUCCUCUAGAGAUAGAGCGGCCUUCGGGACGAAGUGACAGUGGUGCAUGGUGUCGUCACUCGGUCCUGAGAGUUGGNUUAGUCCCGCACGAGCGCA